This 484-nucleotide ribosomal RNA is filed under the name uncultured bacterium. RNAcentral describes it as "partial 16S ribosomal RNA". It matches the Rfam family "Bacterial small subunit ribosomal RNA", at positions 30 to 507 of the family's 1533-position model. The record is from RNAcentral.
AUUGAACGCUGGCGGCAUGCUUUACACAUGCAAGUCGAACGGCAGCGCGGGCUUCGGCCUGGUGGCGCGUGGCGAACGGGUGAGUAAUACAUCGGAACGUGCCCAGUAGUGGGGGAUAGCACGGCGAAAGGCGGAUUAAUACCGCAUACGACAAGAUGGAGAAAGGGGGGGUUCUUCGGACCUCGCGCUAUUUACUAUGCCGAUGGCAGAUUAGCUAGUUGGUGGGGUAAAGGCCUACCAAGGCGACGAUCUGUAGCUGGUCUGAGAGGACGACCAGCCACACUGGGACUGAGACACGGCCCAGACUCCUACGGGAGGCAGCAGUGGGGAAUUUUGGACAAAGGGCGAAAGCCUGAUCCAGCAAUGCCGCGUGUGUGAUGAAGGCCUUCGGGUUGUAAAGCACUUUUGGCGGGAACGAAAAGGACUGUGCCAAUACCACGAUUCGAUGACGGUACCCGAAGAAUAAGCACCGGCUAACUACGUG